UACAGAGGCCUCGAGCGUUAGGCGGAAUCACUGGGCUUAAAGCGUGUGUAGGCGGACUUCUAAGUACCUUGUGAAAUCCCACGGCUUACCCGUGGAACGGCUGGGUAUACUGGGAGUCUUGAGCCACCUAGGGGCGAGUGGAACAAAUGGUGGAGCGGUGAAAUGCGUAGAUAUCAUUUGGAACGCCAAUGGUGAAAACAACUCGCUGGGGGUGUGCUGACGCUGAGACACGAAGGCCAGGGGAGCGAACGGG
This 253-nucleotide ribosomal RNA is filed under the name uncultured bacterium. RNAcentral describes it as "partial 16S ribosomal RNA". It matches the Rfam family "Bacterial small subunit ribosomal RNA", at positions 524 to 776 of the family's 1533-position model. The record is from RNAcentral.